GACUUGGUCAAAGCUCCUCAGC
RNAcentral lists this microRNA (22 nucleotides) under Salmo salar (Atlantic salmon). RNAcentral describes it as "ssa-miR-7132b-5p". The record is from miRBase by way of RNAcentral. RNAcentral also lists the same sequence under 6 other names. Lineage: Eukaryota; Metazoa; Chordata; Actinopteri; Salmoniformes; Salmonidae.